RNAcentral lists this ribosomal RNA (477 nucleotides) under uncultured organism. Its description in RNAcentral is "partial 16S ribosomal RNA". It matches the Rfam family "Bacterial small subunit ribosomal RNA", at positions 333 to 801 of the family's 1533-position model. The record is from RNAcentral.
ACACUCCUGCGGGAGGCAGCAGUGGGGAAUUUUGGACAAUGGGCGCAAGCCUGAUCCAGCCAUGCCGCGUGCGGGAAGAAGGCCUUCGGGUUGUAAACCGCUUUUGUCAGGGAAGAAAAGGUUCUGGCUAAUACCUGGGACUCAUGACGGUACCUGAAGAAUAAGCACCGGCUAACUACGUGCCAGCAGCCGCGGUAAUACGUAGGGUGCAAGCGUUAAUCGGAAUUACUGGGCGUAAAGCGUGCGCAGGCGGUUAUGCAAGACAGAGGUGAAAUCCCCGGGCUCAACCUGGGAACUGCCUUUGUGACUGCAUGGCUAGAGUACGGUAGAGGGGGAUGGAAUUCCGCGUGUAGCAGUGAAAUGCGUAGAUAUGCGGAGGAACACCGAUGGCGAAGGCAAUCCCCUGGACCUGUACUGACGCUCAUGCACGAAAGCGUGGGGAGCAAACAGGAUUAGAAACCCCAGUAGUCCCAUGAU